Molecule: long non-coding RNA, 1066 nt
Filed under: Marmota monax (woodchuck)
Lineage: Eukaryota; Metazoa; Chordata; Mammalia; Rodentia; Sciuridae
Source: RNAcentral
UUUUUUUUUAGUGAAGUGUUAAAUAUCUCAUGCCAUUUACCGACCACUAGGCUGAAAGUGAAGAACAGGUGGCUGUAUGGAUCACACUCGCUGCAUGGUGGAGUUGGCAAGAUCACGUCACACAUAGUCCCUGCUGUAAAAUAAGUUCUCAACAAAUAAAAACCAAGGAGAAGAGGUGCCAGAGAGCUUGUCUUUCACCACCUCAAACUUCCAUGUCGGGAGUUUCCAUGACUCCCAGGAGUCAGACUUCUUGCCAAGAAGGUCAAGUACCAUCUUUCCAUCAGAGCAGGGCUUCUCCACAGUGCCAUUAUUGAUUCUCUGAGCUGGAUGAUUUCUUUGUGCUGGCUAGCCAACCCCCCUCAGGCAUUGCUGUUCCCUAUAAGCCAGAUGUCAGCAGUACCACCCUCUGUGCUCUCCAGAUGUGACAAUCAAAAAUACCUCCAGACAUUACCAAGUGAUCGCUGGGAACAGCCCUUCCCAGUUGGGAACCAGUGUAUUAGACCAGAAAAUGACUGCUGAAACACACACAGCUUUGAACAUAUUAUGGUAUAUCCAGUUGCUUCUAGAUCAAUGAUACAGUUUUUUCUUUCAUUUUUUGUUUGUCCCUUAAACUGCCAUAAUACUGAAAAACACAUCAACAUAAGGACUGUGUUGUUAAGAGAGAGAAAUAGCUAUAUAAUAAUAAUAAGAUAUAUAUUGAAUAAGGAUUUGUAGCAUAUGUGAUAUUGUGAAUUAAACCUGUUGUUAUAAAAUUGAUGCAGUCAGUCACUCAUGGAAUAUUAUCUGUUUUUAGCAUUUUUGUUGUUUAUGCUGAAAUCUUGAAUGCAAUUUAUUUUGGGGUAAGGGUGCGAGGUAUGUAUUAGCCUUAUUUCUUUUCCAGAUGGAGGAACUUUGUCUCAAUACCAUUUGCUGAACAAAUCUAUGUUUUCCUGGCAGAUGUCAAAUGGCAUCAUUUCCUAGUAAAAUUUUUCCUAGUUCCCUGGUCUGUUUUUGCACUUUCUGGUUCAUUCCACUGAUAUCUAUUUAUGGACCAUUUCAGUUGGUGACCCCUGAUUUGAAGUUUUAU